AAAAAUUCACCGCCUACUUUGCCAAAGGGGAUAAAAUUCUUGCUGUAGCAACCAUGGGACCUGGGAAUGCCGCCGCAAAGGCAGCCGACGAAAUGUUUGAGGGGAAAAUGCGUUCUGCAUCAGAGAUCAGGGCUGGUCUUUAAAGACACGAAGACGUCCGCGCAAUGUCAGAGACAAAAGUUGAAGUUGACUAGCAAAUAUCACUCGACGAUUUUAAAAACAAUAACUUUUAGCUACAUAAAAAAAAUAAUGCACUCCUCUCUUAGUGAUUUGGUUUUUUUAAAUUACUUGUAAAAUCAUGCGACCUUCUAUGUACAUACUACUACGGACAGGUGAUAGCUGUAAUCGUAUUUUCUAUUUGGGAUUAUAAAAUGUUAAGAGAAAUGCGCGCGCUGUGAUUGGUCAG
Molecule: non-coding RNA, 406 nt
Organism: Pocillopora verrucosa
Lineage: Eukaryota; Metazoa; Cnidaria; Anthozoa; Scleractinia; Pocilloporidae
Source: RefSeq, a predicted model, not a curated record